RNAcentral lists this ribosomal RNA (447 nucleotides) under uncultured bacterium. RNAcentral describes it as "bacterial SSU rRNA". It matches the Rfam family "Bacterial small subunit ribosomal RNA", at positions 29 to 521 of the family's 1533-position model. The record is from RNAcentral.
AGUGAACGCUGGCGGCAUGCCUAACACAUGCAAGUCGAACGAGACCUUCGGGUCUAGUGGCGCACGGGUGCGUAACGCGUGGGAAUCUGCCCUUGGGUUCGGAAUAACAGUUAGAAAUGACUGCUAAUACCGGAUAAUGUCUUCGGACCAAAGAUUUAUCGCCCAGGGAUGAGCCCGCGUAGGAUUAGCUAGUUGGUGAGGUAAAGGCUCACCAAGGCGACGAUCCUUAGCUGGUCUGAGAGGAUGAUCAGCCACACUGGGACUGAGACACGGCCCAGACUCCUACGGGAGGCAGCAGUGGGGAAUAUUGGACAAUGGGCGAAAGCCUGAUCCAGCAAUGCCGCGUGAGUGAUGAAGGCCUUAGGGUUGUAAAGCUCUUUUACCAGGGAUGAUAAUGACAGUACCUGGAGAAUAAGCUCCGGCUAACUCCGUGCCAGCAGCCGCGGU